GUUUCAGAGUGGCAGUCGUGUUAGUCCGUAUCAGCAAAAACAACAAGGAGUCCUUGUGGCACCUUAGAGACUAACACGUUUAUUUGGGCAUGAGCUUUCGUGGGCUAAAACCCACUUCAUCGGAUGCAUAGAGUGGAAAAUACAG
Chelonia mydas (Green sea turtle) is the source of this 145-nucleotide long non-coding RNA. RefSeq lists it as uncharacterized. NCBI's taxonomy places the organism in Eukaryota, Metazoa, Chordata, Testudines, Cheloniidae. The transcript has 3 exons. The record is from RefSeq and is a predicted model, not a curated record.